GAACCCUUGGCACAGUGGUAGCGCGUGAGAUUCCAGUAAAGGACACUCCUCAAGGUCGUCCGUUCGAUCCGGGCAGGGUUCA
Trametes gibbosa is the source of this 82-nucleotide non-coding RNA. NCBI's taxonomy places the organism in Eukaryota, Fungi, Basidiomycota, Agaricomycetes, Polyporales, Polyporaceae. The record is from the annotation of a GenBank genome assembly.